GAAGAAAGACGCACAGAAAAAAGAAGACAAAUGAAUCAAACCUGCAACUGCAUGUACAGCUGUGUGCAGUAUAUGUGUACGGUAUAUCAAUAAGAAACACUAAGCAGCGCUUAAAGGUGACAGACUCAAAUAAAUGACACACAAUUCAAAUAAGUAAAUUAAAAAAAACAUAUCUGUCAGGUGGAAUUAGUGAGUACACCCCUACCGCUUUCACAGUUUAAAAUCUCAGACCAUCCUGUCGUGGUCCUUGGUGUAUUCCAAUUUACUAUUAUGUAUUUUUCCCAUCCAUCGCCCUUCCUUUGCUUAUUUGGGAACCAGAUGCACAAACCACCCCAACUAGCUCCUUUUGAUGUGGAAGAGUAGCGGCUUUAGACUGUUUUUUUUUUUUUUUUUUUUUUUAAUUUUGGUUGUAAUCUUUGAAUUUUGAUGUUUGUGUGAUAAGUUUAUAGCUUUCAGAGUUUUCUUUACUUUCUUCUCAAGUAUGAGUAUAGAGUUUAACUUGAAACACAAACCCGGCCAUUCCUAAUGAUAAUAGAGAAUUACUAACACGUUACAAAAUGCUACAAAUGAAGAGAUCGGCUCACAGCAAAACGGAUGGUGAGCAACAGGAUGAAUCGUCCUGUUGCUGACUAUUUUGUCUCAGCAGCACAUUGGCUCAGACAAAACAGGAACAUGUUGUCAUGUCAGUUUGGCCAGCCGUAGCUUUAGGUUCAACCAAAGAGACAUGAGCCCACUCCUGAAGAGCUUCUGUGACUCUGUGGUGGCGUCAGCGAUCUUUUACGUUGUGGUCUGCUGGGACAGCAGCAUCUCUGCUGGGGAUGAACAGGCUGAUCCGGAGGGCCAAUAUAUUGGAUUUUUAUUUCUUUUUCUGAUGCAACAUGUGCAAUUUUGACAUACUAUUUUAUUUCGUUCUAUUUUGUUUUAUUCUAUUGUAUUUCUUAAUUUUUGCUCCUUUCAACUUUGUACUGUCCACUUUCUGCUAUGACCAACCAAAUUUCCCACUUGUGGGACUAAUAAAGGGUCAUCUUAUCUUAUCUUAUCUCAUCUUAUCUUAUCUUAUCUUAUCUUAUCUUAUCUUAUCACACAGAAACCCCUCUAAAAAACAACUGGCUUCAUUUUCUACAUAUUUUCAAUAAUCAUACAAUA
Long non-coding RNA from Astatotilapia calliptera (eastern happy), 1146 nucleotides. The record is from Ensembl. Lineage: Eukaryota; Metazoa; Chordata; Actinopteri; Cichliformes; Cichlidae.